Molecule: long non-coding RNA, 312 nt
Organism: Sinocyclocheilus grahami
Lineage: Eukaryota; Metazoa; Chordata; Actinopteri; Cypriniformes; Cyprinidae
Exons: 3
Source: RefSeq, a predicted model, not a curated record
AGAGAAAUUCAUCAGCAACCCUCUCGCAGCGUUUCAGCUCGUGAGAAAGCUAAGUCUAGCCUGGGCCGCUACGCAGGAACUUAUCGAAAGAAGACGUGCAAAAGACACUUUGGAAAGCUUGAAAUCUGCAGCUCAGACUCUCCCCAGUGCAGAAGAUGUAGAAGGUGUGGUGAUGGCUUUGGUUAGACUGCAAGAAAUGUACAGAUUAGAUCCGAGGAACAUCUCCUUAUUUUCUGAAAUGAACCACAACGUGACGCUGGAUCCAGAUGAAACUUUCCAUAUCGCCAUGAUCUCCUCUCUCAAUCAGCGCUU